Molecule: ribosomal RNA, 477 nt
Filed under: uncultured bacterium
Lineage: Bacteria
Description: partial 16S ribosomal RNA
Rfam family: Bacterial small subunit ribosomal RNA
Source: RNAcentral
AUUGAACGCUGGCGGCAUGCCUUACACAUGCAAGUCGAACGGUAACAGGUUAAGCUGACGAGUGGCGAACGGGUGAGUAAUGUAUCGGAACGUGCCCAGUCGUGGGGGAUAACUGCUCGAAAGAGCAGCUAAUACCGCAUACGACCUGAGGGUGAAAGCGGGGGAUCGCAAGACCUCGCGCGAUUGGAGCGGCCGAUAUCAGAUUAGGUAGUUGGUGAGGUAAAGGCUCACCAAGCCGACGAUCUGUAGCUGGUCUGAGAGGACGACCGGCCACACUGGGACUGAGACACGGCCCAGACUCCUACGGGAGGCAGCAGUGGGGAAUUUUGGACAAUGGGCGCAAGCCUGAUCCAGCCAUGCCGCGUGCGGGAAGAAGGCCUUCGGGUUGUAAACCGCUUUUGUCAGGGAAGAAAAGGUUCUGGCUAAUACCUGGGACUCAUGACGGUACCUGAAGAAUAAGCACCGGCUAACUACGUG